RNAcentral lists this unclassified non-coding RNA (250 nucleotides) under plant metagenome. RNAcentral's name for it is "partial contains small subunit ribosomal RNA, internal transcribed spacer 1, and 5.8S ribosomal RNA". The record is from RNAcentral.
GUAGGUGAACCUGCGGAAGGAUCAUUAAAAAUAAUAAAGAUUGGCAGGUUAUAAACACCCAAAAAUCGCAAGUUAUUCACUACCCUACUGUCUAUUCAAUUCUUCUAUUUCUUUGGCAUAUAUAUAUUCAAUAUAAGCCUAUUACAAGGCUAAAGAUAUAUAUAUAUGUCAGUGGAACAAGCCUAAAUAUCAUGUGUAAUAUAAUAUAGUCUGAGUUGAUAAAUAUAUAAUAUUUUAAAAACUUUCAACA